This 73-nucleotide microRNA precursor is filed under the name Myotis brandtii (Brandt's bat). RNAcentral's name for it is "mir-9193 microRNA precursor family". It matches the Rfam family "mir-9193 microRNA precursor family". Lineage: Eukaryota; Metazoa; Chordata; Mammalia; Chiroptera; Vespertilionidae. The record is from Rfam by way of RNAcentral.
CUCAGGGCGGGGUGUCCCUUAGCCUGGAUUGCGAGAGGGUGCAGGCCAGGCCAAGGGACCCCACCAGUGCACA